RNAcentral lists this ribosomal RNA (253 nucleotides) under uncultured bacterium. Its description in RNAcentral is "partial 16S ribosomal RNA". It matches the Rfam family "Bacterial small subunit ribosomal RNA", at positions 524 to 776 of the family's 1533-position model. The record is from RNAcentral.
UACGAGGGGGGCAAGCGUUGUUCGGAAUUAUUGGGCGUAAAGGGCGCGUAGGCGGUGCGGAAAGUCUUCAGUGAAAUCCUGGAGCUCAACUCCAGAACUGCCUUUGAUACUGAGGAUCUUGAGUUCGGGAGAGGUGAGUGGAACUGCGAGUGUAGAGGUGAAAUUCGUAGAUAUUCGCAAGAACACCAGUGGCGAAGGCGGCUCACUGGCCCGAUACUGACGCUGAGGCACGAAAGCGUGGGGAGCAAACAGG